Molecule: long non-coding RNA, 878 nt
Organism: Oncorhynchus nerka (sockeye salmon)
Lineage: Eukaryota; Metazoa; Chordata; Actinopteri; Salmoniformes; Salmonidae
Exons: 4
Source: RefSeq, a predicted model, not a curated record
AACAACUCCUUUUUGGGAACGACUUAUUCCAAUGAACAUGCAGAAACACCUAACGGCAGGAGGGUCGACUAGUUUCAGCCUUCAUAUACUGUGAUUGGUUUCAGCCAGCCAAUACUAUUCAACCUGUGGUCCGAGGACCCCUAGAGAGAAAGUCGACAAUACACAGAAAAGCAUAUGAGAAUGUCAGAACAGUGCCCACAGCAGCGGCAGAUCGCCGUGACUGAAGUGGUAGCAGGGAAGACUGUGGCAAGCGCUGAAAGAAUCAAGUCUAUGAGACCAGGCUGGCUGUCGUGGUGGGGCAGCAUGCAUCACGUGUCUCCAGGACCAUGUGGGCUGAACCCUUACUCAAUGCUGUUGAAGCCCUAUGCUCCAAGGGGCUAAAAGAAAAGUUGAAGUUGCCCUCCAUCCAGCCCUCCUCAAGAGUAAAAGCGAGGAGAAUGAUAUCAAAUCUGGGUCUGGAGAAACCUUAGCGGUUUAGACCAUCGGGCCAGUAACUGAAAGGUUCUUGGUUUGAAUCCCCAAGCCGACUAGGUGAAAAAUCUGUCAUUGGGCCCUUGAGCAAGGCACUUAACCCUAAUUGCUCCUGUAAGUCACUCUAGAUAAGUGUCUGCUAAAUUACUAAAAUGUGAAGUGUGUGUGUAUUUACAAGCGUAUUAUUCCAAUAUGAUCCUAUGAACAAAUCUGAAGUCCGAUGUAUAUUUUACAUAAAAAAAUGUAUUUCAUCAAUAGGACCAUGGGAAGGGUGGGUCCCCAUAAACCAUGUUAUAAACUGAUUGACCUCAUAAACCAUAUAUACAAGUAUAUGUCUGUGUGUGGGAACAGUUCAUAUACUGUAUGAAAAAAUACCUGAUUAAAUUAAACCAAUUUUAUGAAACUAA